CCUACGGGGGGCAGCAGUGGGGAAUAUUGGACAAUGGGGGGAACCCUGAUCCAGCCAUGCCGCGUGUGUGAAGAAGGCCCUCGGGUUGUAAAGCACUUUCAGUGAGGAAGAACGCCUGGUGGUUAAUACCCAUCAGGAAAGACAUCACUCACAGAAGAAGCACCGGCUAACUCCGUGCCAGCAGCCGCGGUAAUACGGAGGGUGCGAGCGUUAAUCGGAAUUACUGGGCGUAAAGCGCGCGUAGGUGGCUUGAUAAGCCGGUUGUGAAAGCCCCGGGCUCAACCUGGGAACGGCAUCCGGAACUGUCAAGCUAGAGUGUAGGAGAGGAAGGUAGAAUUCCCGGUGUAGCGGUGAAAUGCGUAGAGAUCGGGAGGAAUACCAGUGGCGAAGGCGGCCUUCUGGACUGACACUGACACUGAGGUGCGAAAGCGUGGGUAGCAAACAGGAUUAGAUACCCCAGUAGUC
Molecule: ribosomal RNA, 465 nt
Filed under: Vreelandella stevensii
Lineage: Bacteria; Pseudomonadati; Pseudomonadota; Gammaproteobacteria; Oceanospirillales; Halomonadaceae
Description: partial 16S ribosomal RNA
Rfam family: Bacterial small subunit ribosomal RNA
Source: RNAcentral